UACGUAGGGUGCGAGCGUUAAUCGGAAUUACUGGGCGUAAAGCGUGCGCAGGCGGUUUUGUAAACCAGAUGUGAAAGCCCCGGGCUUAACCUGGGAAUGGCAUUUGGGACUGCAAGGCUGGAGUGUGGCAGAGGAGACUGGAAUUCCUGGUGUAGCAGUGAAAUGCGUAGAUAUCAGGAGGAAUACCGAUGGCGAAGGCAGGUCUCUGGGCUAACACUGACGCUCAUGCACGAAAGCGUGGGGAGCAAACAGG
RNAcentral lists this ribosomal RNA (253 nucleotides) under uncultured bacterium. Its description in RNAcentral is "partial 16S ribosomal RNA". It matches the Rfam family "Bacterial small subunit ribosomal RNA", at positions 524 to 776 of the family's 1533-position model. The record is from RNAcentral.